UCCAAAGGGAAAGCACUGCGCUGCGGGGGAGAGGAGAGGAGAGGGCGGCCCACGGCUCUCCGCGGCGCAGGCACGAUUACGCCCGGCGGCCUGGCGGCUGUUGAUGUUUCUACACUAGGUGUUCCGCUUGCCUGCGGUGCCUUCUCCAAGAGGGGCAGCAGAAAACUCCAAGCCCAUGUGAAAACUUCAACAAUGGAUCCGAGAGAGGAACUGACCAGACUACUCCAACCACAGAUAGCAGUAGCCCCAAGCAACACACUGACGAGACAGAGGAGAAACAGUCCAGAGAUGGGGGAUGGUAAAGACUCCUUGCCAUGUUACCAGUCAUCAGCUGUGCGUUGAUGCAGGUUGCCCUGGACAAAGCCAAAGAAAGUCAGACCUGCAUGCUAUUGCCAACUGUUUGUCCAUCAUCCAGAACUCGAAUAUCAUUGCAGUCAUGUCACAGGGGACAGUGAUUGGGAAGGGGACUCAAAGAACUGAUGGCCCAGAAAGGAGCCUACUACAAACUAAUUCCUUAAAUGCCUGACAGCAAUUUAAAAGGACAUGAAAGAACUCAAUCCUUUUCAUUGAAUAUUUCUAGUCUGCAGAUAUGGAAUGAAAAGUCUUAAAAGGACUCAAGCCCUGUAAAUGGCAUACACCUUUCUAAAUUUAUUAAGAAAACAAAAAGGGGGAAAUGCUGGAGGCAAAAAAGAACAGUAGUUAACAUAUAAAUGGAGAAGUCCGCUGGAAGGCUAUUGGACUUUGAUAUUCAACUGAAAAAUCAGCAUUAUAUUAUCCUGUUGUUGGCUGAAUGGCUGAAGGCAAUCCCCUAACCCAGUGGUUGGCAAACUGCGGCUCAGCAAACCACGGCUCUCCAGCCACAUGCAGCUCUUUGGCCCCUUGAGUGUGGC
This is a long non-coding RNA of Myotis myotis, 890 nucleotides long. RefSeq lists it as uncharacterized. The record is from RefSeq and is a predicted model, not a curated record. The transcript has 3 exons. Lineage: Eukaryota; Metazoa; Chordata; Mammalia; Chiroptera; Vespertilionidae.